Molecule: long non-coding RNA, 1745 nt
Filed under: Homo sapiens (human)
Lineage: Eukaryota; Metazoa; Chordata; Mammalia; Primates; Hominidae
Description: HSALNT0087723
Source: RNAcentral
CAGCUCCGCCCCGCGCCGGGCUCUAGCUGUUUCCCUCAGGCGGCCUGUUCCACGCCAGGAUUAGUUUUGCUUCGCAGAUGGGCCGUGGUGGUGAGAGGAAGCAAUCAGUAUGGAAAUGGAGAAAUGGCUUACCAUGCAUGUCCUUCUCCCCAGGAGGGAGGUCGUGGUGCAGGCGAGCAGACGCCAGACUCCUGGACACUUGCCGCCUGCGUUAUGGAGGCUUAGCUAAUAACCUUGCAGGGGUCUUCAGGCUUUUCCACUGGCUCACCUUUAGGCUUCUGACACUUUUACCUACGAUAAUGCAGUAGUUACUUUUUGAAGGACGACCGAAGCAGGAUAUUUCCCUGACCCCUUCAUGGGACCCACGUCAGAGGUGUUUACUCAGCCUGCUGCCCACAACUCCUCACAGGAGGGAGCGCACAAGUGAACGAGGGUGAGGACUGGAGAGCACCAGCACUGGAACAACCCGGCCACUUCGGCGCUACUGGGAUCAAACUCCAUCACUUGGACACACUGUGUUCCACCCCUCGUGGGAGGGAGCAUGCAGGUGAGAGGAUGCAGGAGUCAGGGUGAGCACUUUUGGGCUCCAGCAGGAGCAAACUCUGUGCAGGGCCCUGCAGCAGUGACUGAGGGGCGGCCUGUGACUCCCAAAGCCCCAGAGGACAUGCUACAGUGCUCUUUUAGCUCUACCAUCCGUAGGUGGCUUAAGUGUAAACAGCUCAGUGGGCCCUUUGCCUUUUUGCGUGAGGCAGCUGCCCUAGGCAAGAGUAAAGGGCCAGUGUCACAGCCUUCUGUAUCUGCACUCAUGACUCCUGAGCUCUUGUCCUGCAUUCAGGGAAAAUGAGGUUACACAAAAGAAUUCACAGAUGGUAAAUGCGGGGUAUUUUAUUCCCAGUGAAAGUGGCUCUCAGCAGGAAGGAGAGCAGAAAAGGGGAUGGGCUGGGUAGGUAACCUUCCCCUGAAGUCCUGCCAUCUCUGGCUGGAUUUUUCUCCAAAGUUACACCAUCAAAAUGUCCCUCUGAAAUCAAGCCACUUCUCUCUGACAUCCAGCCGUAGUCCCUCACGUCCAGUUGCUUCUCCUCUCUGCUGGCUGAGUCUGUGGUCUUUAUAGCACAGGAUGGCGGGCAGGGUGGGCCAUGGGUAAUUUAGGAAAAAGCAACAUUUGAGCAGACAAAAGGGAGAGAAGUUCUCUACUUUGGGCUGCGGUUUCAGGCUUUUUGGCUUGAGGGUGGGGUUUUGUCAGGGACCCUCCCUUUUCUGCCUAAAAUUUCUCUGCCUCCUGCCUCUAUCACUGUAUCACUAGUUUGAAGUAAACCCAUCUGGAAUUACUGAUUUUAACAAAUCACACAGAAUUUCAAGCACCUUUCUAUGCAAAUGACUUGUGAAGACAUAGAGUAUAGUAUGCCGUUAACAAACAGCCCAGCAGUGUGCCUUGCACCUUGUAGGUGUACAAAAUAUUAAGUCAAUUUUAUAAUUGAAGGAGGUAAUUUUAAAAUGCUACAUCCAUGUUGUGUAAUUUUAUUCAUUGGUCAUUUUAAAUAAAAACAAAAGCCAGAAUAAACCAUAUAUAUUGUACUUGUUAGUUUAUUCAAGGAAAUUUAGGUCAAAAGAAGCACACCUCCUUGUGGUUAGUUAUUCCAACUGCAAAUCAUUCACCUUAAAAUGAAAGAACAUGGCUAUAGGAGCUUUUUGCAAAUAUGUUCUUCACUGAUGAUUUUCUAAAAUGUAUAUAUCAAAUCCCCCAG